GCGCAAGUGGCGGAAUUGGUAGACGCGCUAGUUUGAGGGGCUAGUGGGUAAAACCGUGGGGGUUCGAGUCCCCCCUUGCGCA
This 82-nucleotide transfer RNA is filed under the name Myxococcales bacterium. RNAcentral describes it as "tRNA-Leu". It matches the Rfam family "tRNA". From Rfam's summary of the family: Transfer RNA (tRNA) molecules are approximately 80 nucleotides in length. Lineage: Bacteria; Pseudomonadati; Myxococcota; Myxococcia; Myxococcales. The record is from RNAcentral.